GCGCCAGUGGUCCAGUGGUAGGACAGUGGCUUCCCAAGCCACUAGCCCGGGUUCAAUUCCCGGCUGGCGCA
RNAcentral lists this transfer RNA (71 nucleotides) under Halobellus salinus. RNAcentral's name for it is "Halobacteriaceae archaeon CSW2.24.4 tRNA". It matches the Rfam family "tRNA". Rfam says of the family: Transfer RNA (tRNA) molecules are approximately 80 nucleotides in length. Their secondary structure includes four short double-helical elements and three loops (D, anti-codon, and T loops). RNAcentral also lists the same sequence under 5 other names. The record is from Rfam by way of RNAcentral. Lineage: Archaea; Methanobacteriati; Methanobacteriota; Halobacteria; Halobacteriales; Haloferacaceae.